Molecule: long non-coding RNA, 892 nt
Filed under: Olea europaea subsp. europaea
Lineage: Eukaryota; Viridiplantae; Streptophyta; Magnoliopsida; Lamiales; Oleaceae
Source: RNAcentral
CAUCUAUUGGCCAGACCAACCAAUAAGCACAAUACUUGAUGCAAACAAUAUUUGUAAGUAUUUAUUAUUGCUCAAUGUAUAUUAAGCAUUUUUCUAAUUCAAUUUUCAUGACAUGUAGGAUGACGACGAAAGUCAUGCACUAACACAACUUUCAACUUCAAAUGUCUUUGUCAAUUACCAAGGUACAUGUAUGGUUUCAACUGCAGAUUUAGCACAUUCUAAGGUUAACAUGUUGCCAUUUUUAAAUAUUUAUGCUAGGUAAUGCAAUGCCAUACUACUAUCUCAAUUUUUGAUACAACGAUGGAACACAAUGUGGAGUCAUCGAGGAAAGAUACUUAGAACGUCUGCAAUGGGCGUUUUUCUUUUCUUUUCUUUUUUUCAGCCAUCGUCUUCAAUUUACUUGCUAUAUAUAAUUUUGAAUGUAACAAUUCCAGCCAUCGCCUCCUCCAAGUGCCAUAGCAGGUUGGAUGUCAAGUGUCACCAAUUCCAUUCCCCAGGCUGCUAUUGCUGGAGGUCUAUCGAGUGUUGUUUAGAUACCUGGCUCCGGAAUGGCCUAUCAAGCUGCUGAAAGUGGUAUUGGAAUGGCAUCCCAAAAGGCUUGUUCAUCAAGGAGGGUAGAAUUUAAUCCUUCCAAUGCAUCUUAACAAGCGGGGUAUGAAAACAAAUGCGGGAGGAUAUAGUAACAACGCAUGGUGCGAUGGCUGGAUGGACAAUGCUUGUCCUGUGUUCCUUUGACCGAUAUAUAACAAUUUUUUCUAUAACAUUCAGCACUAAGCAUUUUUGUAGUUCAUUUGGAAGACAUGUUGUCUUUUAUGCUACAGAAUUGAUUCAUGUGGUUUGAUAAUUUGUGUGACCCAUAUUUCCCAAAGAAAAUCAAUUUGAUAACUUGAAG